Molecule: long non-coding RNA, 1067 nt
Filed under: Salmo salar (Atlantic salmon)
Lineage: Eukaryota; Metazoa; Chordata; Actinopteri; Salmoniformes; Salmonidae
Description: lncRNA (ENSSSAG00000092017.1, ENSSSAG00000119064.1)
Source: RNAcentral
UGGGGGGGGCGAGGUCAAAUCAUGAUGUGGGGGGGGGCGAGGUCAAAUCAUGAUGUGGGGGGGACAAGAGACGCCUCUGUGGAGACCCCUCUGUGGAGGUGGAGACCCCUCUGUGGAGGUGGAGACCCCUCUGUGGAGGUGGAGACCCCUCUGUGGAGGUGGAGACCCCUCUGUGGCGGAUAUUGAUUCAGAUGUUUCUGGAGCCAUGACAUGAGAAAAUGUGUUUUUCAUUUUAUUUGUUUAUUAGGAUCCCCAUUAGCUAGCUAGGGGACAGCAAGUCUUACUGGGGAAACAACAUAUAAUGAAAAAUACUUUACAGACAAAUUACUUUACAGUUUAAAUACAUUUAAAAACAGUAACAUAUAAUGUGUGUGUAUUUAUCAGUGACACAUACAUGUCAGUACACACACAACCAGUAGGUCACAUGUCAGUACACACGACCAGUAGGUCACAUGUCAGUACAAACACACAACCAGUAGGUCACAUAUCAGUACAAACACACGACCAGUAGGUCACAUAUCAGUACACACACACACGACCAGUAGGUCACAUAUCAGUACACACACACACGACCAGUAGGUCACAUAUCAGUACACACAACCAGUAGGUCACAUGUCAGCAGCAGCACGGCCAGGUGGACUGGGGACAUGUCAGUACAUGUUCCAUGCACUCAUGGCUCUGGAUAAUACUGCACGUUUUCUUGAAUUUGUUCUGGAUUUGGGGACUGUGAAAAGACCCCUGGUGGCAUGUCUGGUGGGUGAAGAGCCAAGACGGGCCGCUCUGUUCUGGACCAGCUGCAGCUUAACUAGGUCUUUGCAGCACUCGACCACACGACUGGACAAUAAUCAAGAUAAGAUAAAACUAGAGCCUGCAGAACUUGCUUUGUGGAGUGUGGUGUCAAAAAAGCAGAGCAUCUCUUUAUUACGGACAGACCUCAUUCCCCCAUCUUUACAACCAUUGAAUCUGUAUGUUUUGACCUUGUUGACAGUUUACAAUGUAAGGUAACAACAAGUAAUUUAGUCUCCUCAACUUGUUCAACAGCCACACCAUUCAUUACCAGAUUCAGC